Molecule: small nuclear RNA, 108 nt
Filed under: Myotis davidii
Lineage: Eukaryota; Metazoa; Chordata; Mammalia; Chiroptera; Vespertilionidae
Source: RNAcentral
AAGAUCAUUAGAAAUAACUUAAGUGCAAACUUUGGACCAAUCCAGAGAAGAUUCACGUGGCCUCUGGGCAAGGGUGACACACGAAUUACGGCAGCAUUCCAUAUUUUU